This 484-nucleotide ribosomal RNA is filed under the name uncultured bacterium. RNAcentral's name for it is "partial 16S ribosomal RNA". It matches the Rfam family "Bacterial small subunit ribosomal RNA", at positions 29 to 507 of the family's 1533-position model. The record is from RNAcentral.
AUUGAACGCUGGCGGCAUGCUUUACACAUGCAAGUCGAACGGCAGCGCGGGCUUCGGCCUGGCGGCGAGUGGCGAACAGGUGAGUAAUACAUCGGAACGUGCCCAGUAGUGGGGGAUAGCUCGGCGAAAGCCGGAUUAAUACCGCAUACGACCUGAGGGUGAAAGCGGGGGAUCUUCGGACCUCGCGCUAUUGGAGCGGCCGAUGGCAGAUUAGCUAGUUGGUGGGGUAAAGGCCUACCAAGGCGACGAUCUGUAGCUGGUCUGAGAGGACGACCAGCCACACUGGGACUGAGACACGGCCCAGACUCCUACGGGAGGCAGCAGUGGGGAAUUUUGGACAAUGGGCGAAAGCCUGAUCCAGCAAUGCCGCGUGUGUGAUGAAGGCCCUCGGGUUGUAAAGCACUUUUGGCGGGAACGAAAAGGACUGUGCCAAUACCACGGUUCGAUGACGGUACCCGCAGAAUAAGCACCGGCUAACUACGUG